AUUGAACGCUGGCGGCAGGCCUAACACAUGCAAGUCGAGCGGAUGAAGGGAGCUUGCUCCUGGAUUCAGCGGCGGACGGGUGAGUAAUGCCUAGGAAUCUGCCUGGUAGUGGGGGAUAACGUCCGGAAACGGGCGCUAAUACCGCAUCCGUCCUGAGGGAGAAGGUGGGGGAUCUUCGGACCUACCGCUACCGGUUGAGCCUAGGUCGGAUUAGCUAGUUGGUGGGGUAAAGGCCUACCAAGGCGACGAUCCGUAACUGGUCUGAGAGGAUGAUCAGUCACACUGGAACUGAGACACGGUCCAGACUCCUACGGGAGGCAGCAGUGGGGAAUAUUGGACAAUGGGCGAAAGCCUGAUCCAGCCAUGCCGCGUGUGUGAAGAAGGUCUUCGGAUUGUAAAGCACUUUAAGUUGGGAGGAAGGGCAGUAAGUUAAUACCUUGCUGUUUUGACGUUACCAACAGAAUAAGCACCGGCUAACUUCGUG
RNAcentral lists this ribosomal RNA (484 nucleotides) under uncultured bacterium. Its description in RNAcentral is "partial 16S ribosomal RNA". It matches the Rfam family "Bacterial small subunit ribosomal RNA", at positions 30 to 507 of the family's 1533-position model. The record is from RNAcentral.